Long non-coding RNA from Passer domesticus (house sparrow), 521 nucleotides. RefSeq lists it as uncharacterized. The transcript has 2 exons. The record is from RefSeq and is a predicted model, not a curated record. Lineage: Eukaryota; Metazoa; Chordata; Aves; Passeriformes; Passeridae.
GGAGCGGGGAGCGAGCCGGAGGUGCGAGGGGAUCCGGGGAGCAGGGGAGAGGCGGCGCCGCUCUGCCCCGGUGCCCCGCGCCGCUUCAGAGGGGCAUCCCCGGGCGCAGUCGCUCGUGGUCCAUCGCUCGCUUCGGCAGCGCGGAGGGUCCGGAGUGCGGCGCGGAUGCGGCGGCGGCGGCCGGGGACCCCCGCCGCGGGCAGGGCAGCGCACGCUGCGCGGCGCGGAGCGGAGCGGAGAAGCGGCGCGAUCCCGGCGAUCCCAGGAGAAGCUGCACGGAUCCACUCGGUCAGACCAGCUCUUCGGCUCGCUCCCUCGCUUGCUCUUUUAAACAAUAUCUCCCUUGUUGGUGGUUUGGGUUUUAUUAUUAUUAUUGUUAUUAUUAUUUUAAGUGUGAUUUUUGUUGUUGUUGCUGCUGCUGCUGCUCCAGUUAAUCUGUCUCCCUCUGCGUCUUUUUGAUCUUUCGCUCGCCUUGUGCUGGCUUGAACGCUGUGUUUUGUUUUGUUUGGGGUUUUUUGUUU